RNAcentral lists this ribosomal RNA (850 nucleotides) under uncultured bacterium. Its description in RNAcentral is "bacterial SSU rRNA". It matches the Rfam family "Bacterial small subunit ribosomal RNA", at positions 30 to 869 of the family's 1533-position model. The record is from RNAcentral.
UGAACGCUGGCGGUAUGCUUAACACAUGCAAGUCGAACGGAAACGAUGGAAGCUUGCUUCCAGGCGUCGAGUGGCGGACGGGUGAGUAACGCGUAGGAAUCUGCCAGAUAGUGGGGGAUAGCCCGGAGAAAUCCGGAUUAAUACCGCAUAAUCUCCAUGGAGUAAAGAGGGCCUCUAUUUAUAAGCUUUCGCUAUCUGAUGAGCCUGCGUAAGAUUAGCUAGUUGGUGGGGUAAUGGCCUACCAAGGCGACGAUCUUUAGCUGGUCUGAGAGGAUGAUCAGCCACACUGGGACUGAGACACGGCCCAGACUCCUACGGGAGGCAGCAGUGGGGAAUAUUGGACAAUGGGGGCAACCCUGAUCCAGCAAUACCGCGUGUGUGAAGAAGGCCUGAGGGUUGUAAAGCACUUUCAAUUGUGAAGAAAAGUUAAUAGUUAAUACCUAUUAGCCUUGACGUUAACUUUAGAAGAAGCACCGGCUAACUCCGUGCCAGCAGCCGCGGUAAUACGGAGGGUGCAAGCGUUAAUCGGAAUUACUGGGCGUAAAGCGUGCGUAGGCGGUUGACUAAGUCAGAUGUGAAAGCCCCGGGCUUAACCUGGGAACUGCAUUUGAAACUGGUCAACUAGAGUAUGGUAGAGGAAAGUGGAAUUUCUGGUGUAGCGGUGAAAUGCGUAGAUAUCAGAAGGAACAUCGAUGGCGAAGGCAGCUUUCUGGACCAAUACUGACGCUGAGGUACGAAAGCGUGGGUAGCAAACAGGAUUAGAUACCCUGGUAGUCCACGCCGUAAACGAUGAUAACUAGCCGUUGGGAGGGUUUACCUCUUAGUGGCGAAGCUAACGCGUUAAGUUAUC